GACAACUAGCUGUUGGGAGACAAGAUCUCUCAGUGGCGCAGCUAACGCUUUAAGUUGUCCGCCUGGGGAGUACGGCCGCAAGGUUAAAACUCAAAUGAAUUGACGGGGACCCGCACAAGCGGUGGAGCAUGUGGUUUAAUUCGAUGCAACGCGAAAAACCUUACCUACUCUUGACAUACUUGGAAGCUCUUGUAAUGAGAGUGUGCUUUUAGAGCCAAGAUACAGGUGCUGCAUGGCUGUCGUCAGCUCGUGUCGUGAGAUGUUGGGUUAAGUCCCAUAACGAGCGCAACCCUUACCCUUAUUUGCCAGCGGUUCGGCCGGGAACUAUAAGGGGACUGCCGGUGACAAACCGGAGGAAGGUGAGGACGACGUCAAGUCAUCAUGGCCCUUACGAGUAGGGCUACACACGUGCUACAAUGGGGAAUACAGACGGACGCUAAAGCGUGAGCUGGUGCCAAUCCUAAAAAAUUUCUCGUAGUCCGGAUUGCAGUCUGCAACUCGACUGCAUGAAGUCGGAAUCGCUAGUAAUCGCGAAUCAGCAUGUCGCGGUGAAUACGUUCUCGGGUCUUGUACACACCGCCCGUCACACCAUGGAAGUGUGUUGCACCAGAAGUAGGUAGUCUAACCUUCGGGAAGGCGCUUACCACGGUGUGAUCCAUGACUGGGGUGAAGUCGUAACAAGGUAACCG
RNAcentral lists this ribosomal RNA (689 nucleotides) under uncultured bacterium. Its description in RNAcentral is "bacterial SSU rRNA". It matches the Rfam family "Bacterial small subunit ribosomal RNA", at positions 811 to 1502 of the family's 1533-position model. The record is from RNAcentral.